AUUGAACGCUGGCGGCAUGCCUUACACAUGCAAGUCGAACGGUAACAGGUCUUCGGACGCUGACGAGUGGCGAACGGGUGAGUAAUACAUCGGAACGUGCCCGAUCGUGGGGGAUAACGAGGCGAAAGCUUUGCUAAUACCGCAUACGAUCUACGGAUGAAAGCGGGGGAUCUUCGGACCUCGCGCGGACGGAGCGGCCGAUGGCAGAUUAGGUAGUUGGUGGGAUAAAAGCUUACCAAGCCGACGAUCUGUAGCUGGUCUGAGAGGAUGAUCAGCCACACUGGGACUGAGACACGGCCCAGACUCCUACGGGAGGCAGCAGUGGGGAAUUUUGGACAAUGGGCGAAAGCCUGAUCCAGCCAUGCCGCGUGCAGGAUGAAGGCCUUCGGGUUGUAAACUGCUUUUGUACGGAACGAAAAGCCUCUUUCUAAUAAAGAGGGGUCAUGACGGUACCGUAAGAAUAAACACCGGCUAACUACGU
RNAcentral lists this ribosomal RNA (481 nucleotides) under uncultured bacterium. RNAcentral's name for it is "partial 16S ribosomal RNA". It matches the Rfam family "Bacterial small subunit ribosomal RNA", at positions 30 to 506 of the family's 1533-position model. The record is from RNAcentral.